This 450-nucleotide ribosomal RNA is filed under the name uncultured bacterium. RNAcentral describes it as "bacterial SSU rRNA". It matches the Rfam family "Bacterial small subunit ribosomal RNA", at positions 354 to 796 of the family's 1533-position model. The record is from RNAcentral.
GUCGAGAAUCUUUCUCAAUGGGCGAAAGCCUGAAGAUGCGACGCCGCGUGAAGGAUGAAGGCCUUCGGGUUGUAAACUUCUUUUGCAAAAGAAGAAAGCUUCGGUUCUAAUAAAGCCGGAGUGUGACGUUAUUUUGUGAAUAAGCCACGGCUAACUCCGUGCCAGCAGCCGCGGUAAUACGGAGGUGGCGAGCGUUACUCGGAAUGACUGGGUGUAAAGGGUCCGCAAGUGGUCUGCUAAGUGGACGGUGAAAUCCUUCUGCUUAACGGAAAAAUUGCCGUUCAAACUGGCAGACUAGAGGCCAAUAGAGGAGAGCGGAAUUGCCGGUGUAAGGGUGAAAUCUGUGGAUAUCGGCAGGAACGCCUGAUGCGAAAGCGGCUCUCUGGAUUGGUUCUGACACGCAGGGACGAAAGCUAGGGGAGCAAACAGGAUUAGAAACCCUAGUAGUCC